Momordica charantia (bitter melon) is the source of this 3423-nucleotide non-coding RNA. The record is from RefSeq and is a predicted model, not a curated record. NCBI's taxonomy places the organism in Eukaryota, Viridiplantae, Streptophyta, Magnoliopsida, Cucurbitales, Cucurbitaceae.
GAAUUUCAAUUUACAAUUACAGUGAAGCAUCUUCAGAUCCAGCGACCAAUUGGGGUCAGGUUUUUGAUACAGUAGGGUUUAACUUCACCCUCCUAAACCUUUCCUUUCGAUUCCAAUCCACAUUCCCGGACAAACUCCUGUUUCAUUCUUUUGGUUCUGAUUCUGACAUCCUCCGCUGUUUAUUUGGGCAAAUGAAGAGUCCGGUGAGGUAUAAGUUGGGUAAACAGUCGUCCCUGGCGCCGGAUGGCCACCUUGAUGAUUUGGUGGAGCUCGUCAAGGAGCACGAAACUGAGGAGGGGAUAGAUCCGAGGGUGAGGCUGAUGUAUUUAGCCAAUGAGGGCGAUUUGGAAGGAAUUAAGGAACUGUUGGAUUCGGGAGUUGAUGUUAAUUUCCAUUAUAUCGAUGACCGGACGGCUCUGCAUAUUGCUGCUUGCCAGGGAUUCGCCGACGUUGUUGCUUUGUUGCUGGAGCGUGGCGCUGAAGUUGACUCCAAGGAUCGCUGGGGGAGCACGCCUCUUAGGGAUGCUGUACAUUACAAAAACCACGAUGUGAUCAAACUUUUGGAGAAGCAUGGUGCAGAGCCUCUGGUGGCCCCCAUGCUCGUCAAGAAUGCCCGUGAAGUGCCAGAUUAUGAAAUUGAUCCCGAGGAACUUGAUUUUACCAACAGUGUGAACAUUUCCAAGGGAACAUUCCGAGUAGCAUCUUGGCGUGGAACUGAGGUAGCUGUGAAAGAGCUUGGAGAAGACCUGUUCACUGAUGAGGAUAAAGUGAGGGCUUUCAGGGAUGAACUUGCAUUGCUUCAGAAAAUACGACACCCCAAUGUUGUCCAGUUUCUAGGUGCUGUUACUCAAAGUUGCCCGAUGAUGAUCGUCACAGAAUAUUUGCCUAAGGGAGAUCUUGGAGCAUUAUUGAAAAGAAAAGGAGCAAUAAAAACAGUGACUGUUGUGAGACUUGCCCUUGAUAUUGCAAGGGGGAUGAAUUAUUUACACGAGAACAAGCCGGCACCAAUUAUUCAUCGUGAUCUUGAGCCUUCAAAUAUUCUGAGGGAUGAUUCUGACCACCUGAAAGUAGCAGAUUUUGGAGUAAGCAAAUUAUUGACAGUUAAAGAAGAUAGACCUUCGGCUUGUUCAGAGACUUCUCGAAGGUAUGAGGCUCCGGAGGUUUUCAAAAAUGAAAAGUAUGAUACCAAGGUGGACGUAUUUUCAUUUGCUUUGAUUCUACAAGAGAUGAUUGAAGGUCGUCCUCCAUUUGCUGACACGCCAGAUAGUGAAGUUCCUAAAUUGUAUGCAGCAGGAGAACGUCCACCAUUUAGAGCACCACUUAAACGUUAUGAAAAUGGACUCAAAGAGCUAAUUGAAGAAUGCUGGAAUGAGAUGCCAGCUAUGAGACCAACAUUUAGGCAGAUAAUAUCACAGCUGGAAUUCAUUUACAACAGAUUCGGUCAUAAGAGGCGCUGGAAGGUCAGGCCAUUGAAAUGCUUCCAAAAUAUUGAGGCCAUGUUGAAGAAAGAUCGUUCCCGUCGAAGCAGUUUCAGUCUAUCAACACAUUCUUCUGCCAGUAGUAUAUAAUUAGUCAGAUUUCGGUCCCACACUGUGUUUACCUUCCCAGCUUCGUGUGAUAAACUUAUUUGUCAGAAGUAACUUUUUUGUCAGUGUCCUAAUUGCAUCAAUUGUCAUUGAUUUCAAAAUUGGUUCCGGUUUCUGGGAUGAUAAACACGUGCACCAUUGUUUAUUAAGUACUACUUUUGAGUUUUGAAUGAGUCUCAAAUUCAGGAAUUGUGAAACCAGAACCUUCAAGUUGUGGCUGUAGUCUGUACUGCAGGAUCAUGGAAACCUGUGGAUGUGAAGAUAAUGACUAAUUCAGAGAAUUCUUGUACACUCGAAGUGGCAAUUUCCUUCAUUCUCCACUUAUCGGAUAUUAAGAUUUGCAGAAAUUAUGGUCCUUCAGAUUGGAUAGUUGGUACAAACAAGAUAUAGAAAUAUCCAUUUUGAUUACUGUUUGAAGUUGAUUCUCUUAAUGUGCACAUCCAGGAGAUACCAAUACCAACUUUUGCCAAUCUGAGUCAUCAAAUUGGAAAAGUUUGACAAAGGUAUAGGUACAUGUGGCAGGAAAGUACCAAAUUGUAAGUUUCAAUUUCAAAUCUGAUCUUGUGGUAAAAAAAAAAAAAUGGGAAAACUAAAUUGCUGACAUAAGAAGCAAAGAUUUUUUCUUUGUGGGUUGCAAAGCCUCCAAUCAGAGAUAUUCUGGGGUUGAAUUUGAAGUUGGAGAAUUGGUUGUCAAUAGCUCAUUUUGGCAAAUUGGAAAAUCCCAAUUCUUUUAGAUUGAAAAGACUGGUUGUUGCAUCUUAAGAACAUCCAUUCCUUAAAAUCUCCAUUUCCGGGCCAAGCAACCGUAUCAGAGACACGUGGGAAAUCAGAUUUUCUGGCCAAGCAACCUCCAUCAAAAUCUCCAAUUUACAACAAAUUGGUCAGAUUUUUCUAUUGGACAAAUUUUCAGUGAAAGCUUUAGCAAGAAGGUGUGCUCUGUUUAUGUGGCUUGAAAGCCAAAUAUUACACAGCGGCUUCACCAUAUGCUUUUCUUUGAAACAUAUUCUCGUUAAGGUAUAAAAGCACUGCCAAUUUUAUGUUCCUUUUGCAAAGGAGAGGUGCAACUUAUUCAGGUAUAGAGCUCAGCAUGCUGGAAAGGAAGCUUUGCAGAAAAAAGUAUGUCAGUCGAGCAGAACUGCCUUGUGUGUUAUUAAUGCUUUGUUUGCUCUUCUCUAUCCCUUCUCACACUCAACUGCUAAUUAUGGAGUUUUUGUUGAAGUCACAGAUAGAGAUAAGAAGAAAAGAAACCAAAUUGAAUGUUGAAUGUGAAGUGCCGUACUUAGUAAUUGGUAUAGUGAGAGGUUGAUUUCAUACAUAUGGCAAAGCCUGGAGAUUGAGGCAGCUGAGUGUGAAGUUUAUAGAACACCUUUUUUCCUUGGGAAGAUCUGGCAGCGGCGUGGAGGUAGGACCGAUAGGGGAUGGGCUACGAGCCACUACAUGUUGAACUAUACGGCCAUUUUGGUUGCAAAAACGGACCCACCUACAUCCAUAAUACAAAAUGCUAGUUUAUUAAGAAUACGCUAGAAAAGCGCUUCAAAUGUCGAUUUGUGAUAGGCGUAGGGUAGGAGCCUCUUUCAAUUGAGAGGUUAUUUAUUGAUUUGUGUUGGAAGUAAAGGUGAAGUUAAGCUGAGUUAGCUGAAGAAAUUAAGUUGGUUUGAUGCAGAGAUUAGGAAAAUUUUGAAGAGGGGAAGGUUGAAAUGUAUAGGUACGGGAUAUGGCAUUUAUGGAGUUUCAAUGCCCUUCACCACAGCAUCUUUUGAGAAAUUAAGUACAAAUUCACACUACUUUUUGAGUUUUGUGGUCCCAUUUCAAGAGAAUAUAUAAAACACAUUGGCCU